This 302-nucleotide long non-coding RNA is filed under the name Lathyrus oleraceus (garden pea). Its description in RNAcentral is "Pisum sativum (pea) long non-coding RNA (PSAT_LNC006095)". The record is from RNAcentral. Lineage: Eukaryota; Viridiplantae; Streptophyta; Magnoliopsida; Fabales; Fabaceae.
AAUUUAACCUUGCCACCACAACCUUACCUAUUUCAGAAGCAGAAAUGUUGAAUGAAACCACUUCACCCUCUUCAUCUUCUUCACCAGAAUCACCUCCCUACUACAACAUUCCCUCAGAUACUGAACCAUCUGACCCUUCCUCUCCCACUCUGGCCCAGCUCCAAACUCGUGCUCUGGCCUCACAACAGGCAACACCACCCACACCUGAACCAGAAGUCAAUUCAUCACCCAAAGAACAACAAAACCCAACCACAUCUGACCCUCCACCAUCUGAAACACCUAACGCUGAAACUCAACCAAAC